GACGUAGGGGGCGAGCGUUGUCCGGAUUUAUUGGGCGUAAAGAGCGUGUAGGCGGCCAGUUAGGUCCGUUGUGAAAACUCGAGGCUCAACCUCGAGACGUCGAUGGAAACCAUCUGGCUAGAGUCCGGAAGAGGAGAGUGGAAUUCCUGGUGUAGCGGUGAAAUGCGCAGAUAUCAGGAAGAACACCGAUGGCGAAGGCAGCUCUCUGGGACGGUACUGACGCUGAGACGCGAAAGCGUGGGGAGCGAACAGG
RNAcentral lists this ribosomal RNA (253 nucleotides) under uncultured bacterium. RNAcentral describes it as "partial 16S ribosomal RNA". It matches the Rfam family "Bacterial small subunit ribosomal RNA", at positions 524 to 776 of the family's 1533-position model. The record is from RNAcentral.